RNAcentral lists this ribosomal RNA (1331 nucleotides) under Philophylla fossata. RNAcentral's name for it is "16S ribosomal RNA". Lineage: Eukaryota; Metazoa; Arthropoda; Insecta; Diptera; Tephritidae. The record is from RNAcentral.
UAAUUAAUAUUUAUUUAUUAUUAUGAAUUUAUUUAUUUUAUAAUUUAUUAAAAAUAAUUGUAUAAUUUAUUGUUUUAGUAAUUUUUAAUGAAAAAAUAAUAUUAAUAAUAGUUUAUUAAGUAUUGUGAAAGGUUAUUGAAAUAAAAUGAAAAAUUUUUAUUUUAUAAGAAAAUUUAAUUUAUUGUACCUUGUGUAUCAGGGUUUAUUAAAUAAUUAAUAAAUAUUUAUUUAUCUCGAUUUUAUAAGAGUUAAUAAUUUAAGAAAGUUAAUGUGUUAAAAUUAUUUUUAAUAAAUUAUUAGAAAUGAAAUGUUAUUCGUUUAUAAAGGUAUCUAGUUUUUUUAGAAAUAAAUUUAAUUUACAAAAUUUUAAUUUUUUUUUAUUUUAUUUAAUAAUGAUAAAAUUUAUUAUUUUGAAUAUUUUAAGGGAUAAGCUUUAAAAUAAAUUAUUAAAAAUUGAUAAUAUUAUUAUUAAAAAUGUAUGUGUAGAAUUAGCAGUCAUUUAUAAGUUUGUUAUAAAUUAUUUUAUUUAUUUAUUAUUUAAUUGUAUUUUAAUUUUAUAUAAAAAUUUUUAUUUUAAUAUAAUUUGUAAAUUAAUAUUGAUGAAAUUAGUAUAUAUUAUUGUUUAAAUAAUUUAAAUUGAUAAGUUUAGAUAAAGAAUUCGGCAAAUUUUAUACUCGCCUGUUUAACAAAAACAUGUCUUUUUGUAUUAUAUAAAAAGUCUAACCUGCCCACUGAAGUAUUUUAAAUGGCCGCAGUAUAUUAACUGUGCAAAGGUAGCAUAAUCAUUAGUCUUUUAAUUGAAGGCUUGUAUGAAUGGUUGGACGAAGUAUAAACUGUUUCAUUUGAAUUUAUUAUAGAAUUUUAUAUUUUAGUUAAAAAGCUAAAAUUAAUUUAAAAGACGAGAAGACCCUAUAAAUCUUUAUAUUUUUUAAUAAUUAAAUUUUAUUGAUUUAUUUUAUUUUUAUAUUAAAAAAUAUUUUGUUGGGGUGAUAUUAAAAUUUAAUAAACUUUUAAUUUAUUAAAUCAUUAAUUUAUGAAUUAUUGAUCCAUUAAUAAUGAUUAUAAGAUUAAGUUACUUUAGGGAUAACAGCGUAAUUUUUUUAGAGAGUUCAUAUCGAUAAAAAAGAUUGCGACCUCGAUGUUGGAUUAAGAGUUAUUUUAGGUGUAGCCGCUUGAAGAUAAAGUCUGUUCGACUUUUAAAUUCUUACAUGAUCUGAGUUCAGACCGGCGUAAGCCAGGUUGGUUUCUAUCUUUAAAAAAUGAUAAUAUUUUAGUACGAAAGGACCAAAUAUUUAAAUUAUAAAAUUUUUAUUAUUGAAUAUGAAUAAUAU